This 81-nucleotide small nucleolar RNA is filed under the name Mola mola (ocean sunfish). Lineage: Eukaryota; Metazoa; Chordata; Actinopteri; Tetraodontiformes; Molidae. The record is from RNAcentral.
CUUGUCUGUGAUGUUUUCACCCCAUAUUUCGAGUUUCAGUGACCAUGAGAAAACUUUACAUGCACUACCAUCUGAGACAUC